RNAcentral lists this ribosomal RNA (556 nucleotides) under uncultured bacterium. RNAcentral describes it as "partial 16S ribosomal RNA". It matches the Rfam family "Bacterial small subunit ribosomal RNA", at positions 355 to 900 of the family's 1533-position model. The record is from RNAcentral.
UAGGGAAUCUUCCACAAUGGACGCAAGUCUGAUGGAGCAACGCCGCGUGAGUGAAGAAGGUUUUCGGACCGUAAAGCUCUGUUGUUGGUGAAGAAGGAUAGAGGUAGUAACUGGCCUUUAUUUGACGGUAAUCAACCAGAAAGUCACGGCUAACUACGUGCCAGCAGCCGCGGUAAUACGUAGGUGGCAAGCGUUGUCCGGAUUUAUUGGGCGUAAAGCGAGCGCAGGCGGAAGAAUAAGUCUGAUGUGAAAGCCCUCGGCUUAACCGAGGAAUUGCAUCGGAAACUGUUUUCUUGAGUGCAGAAGAGGAGAGUAGAACUCCAUGUGUAGCGGUGGAAUGCGUAGAUAUAUGGAAGAAUACCAGUGGCGAAGGCGGCUCUCUGGUCUGCAAACUGACGCUGAGGCUCGAAAGCAUGGGUAGCGAACAGGAUUAGAUACCCUGGUAGUCCAUGCCGUAAACGAUGAGUGCUAAGUGUUGGGAGGCUUCCGCCUCUCAGUGCUGCAGCUAACGCAUUAAGCACUCCGCCUGGGGGAGUACGACCGCAAAGGUUGAAAC